Molecule: ribosomal RNA, 280 nt
Filed under: uncultured Glomus
Lineage: Eukaryota; Fungi; Glomeromycota; Glomeromycetes; Glomerales; Glomeraceae
Description: partial 18S small subunit ribosomal RNA
Rfam family: Eukaryotic small subunit ribosomal RNA
Source: RNAcentral
CCGAUAGCGUAUAUUAAAGUUGUUGCAGUUAAAAAGCUCGUAGUUGAAUUUCGGGGUUAGUAGGUUGGUCAUGCCUCUGGUAUGUACUGGUCUCACUGAUUCCUCCUUCCUGAUGAACCUUAAUGCCAUUUAUUUGGUGUUUUGGGGAAUUUGGACUGUUACUUUGAAAAAAUUAGAGUGUUUAAAGCAAGCUAACGCUUGAAUACAUUAGCAUGGAAUAAUGAAAUAGGACGUUCGAUCCUAUUUUGUUGGUUUCUAGGAUUGACGUAAUGAUUAAUAG